Molecule: long non-coding RNA, 848 nt
Organism: Diceros bicornis minor
Lineage: Eukaryota; Metazoa; Chordata; Mammalia; Perissodactyla; Rhinocerotidae
Exons: 4
Source: RefSeq, a predicted model, not a curated record
GAAGAGGAUCCAGCAGAACACUUCAUGCCCUAGGGGAGGCUGGGAGGAGACUGGAUGCUGAAUGAGGCUGUGGAAGGCCCCCUGCUGAACAGGAACAUCUGUGUUGGAUUUUGUCUUCAGCAGUAUCAGGUUAAAUGUUCCCUGCCCUUUAUGAUAUUGAAUGGACUCCAGUUCCUCAAGGCAUCAGGCAAAUGCUUUCGAAGAAGAGGAAGUCAGAGGUCUUCAGACUCAGACUGGAAUCUACACCAUUGGCUCUCCAGCUCUCAGGCCUUAUAACUAUACCACUGGCCUUCCUGGGUCUCCAGAUUGCAGACCACAGAUCAUGGGACUUCUCAGCCUCCGUAAUCAUGUGAGCCAAUAUCUUAAUAGAAAAGAUAUGUGCUUGCAUCUCUGGCAGGAAGUGCAACUACUUUGCUACUGAAGGAAGAUUUCUCUCCCCAGCCGGCAACAGCCCAGCCAAUGAGAAAUGCCACAUCUCAGCCAAUGAGAAACUCUGCUGCUCAGCUAAUGAGAAGCUGUUGCUGCCCUGAACUGUUACUUUCCUCCAAUGUAAUUUUCUUUAGAACAGCUCCUCCCUAAUCUCCCUUUUUCUCUAUAAAAGCAGUCCCCCCCACCCACCCCCCCACUUUGUUUUCUGGAUCUGCUUACAGUUUGCCAUAGUAUGCAUGUCUUGAAUUGCAAUUCUUUUAGCUAUUCGCAAAGUAACUCGUUUUGAGGAUCAAAAUAACAGGCGAAUUUGUUUGUUAAAUUGACACUUUAAAUUUUUAAUAACUAUGAUGAAAAAUUCAAAUUUAUUAUAUUAUUUUCAAGUUUUGAUUUGUUGAAUUUGUACAGAAUGGCUUUAUGUU